This 77-nucleotide transfer RNA is filed under the name Alteromonadaceae bacterium. RNAcentral's name for it is "tRNA-Val". It matches the Rfam family "tRNA". From Rfam's summary of the family: Transfer RNA (tRNA) molecules are approximately 80 nucleotides in length. The record is from RNAcentral. Lineage: Bacteria; Pseudomonadati; Pseudomonadota; Gammaproteobacteria; Alteromonadales; Alteromonadaceae.
AGGACCAUAGCUCAGUUGGUUAGAUCGCUGCCGUGACAUGGCAGGUGUCGGCAGUUCGAAUCUGCCUGGUCCGACCA